This 85-nucleotide transfer RNA is filed under the name Bacillota bacterium. Its description in RNAcentral is "Firmicutes bacterium (anaerobic digester metagenome) tRNA-Leu". It matches the Rfam family "tRNA". From Rfam's summary of the family: Transfer RNA (tRNA) molecules are approximately 80 nucleotides in length. Their secondary structure includes four short double-helical elements and three loops (D, anti-codon, and T loops). The record is from RNAcentral. Lineage: Bacteria; Bacillati; Bacillota.
GCCGAGAUGGUGGAACUGGCAGACACGCAGGCCUUAGGAGUCUGUGACUCAGGUCGUGCGGGUUCAAAUCCCGCUCUCGGCACCA